RNAcentral lists this ribosomal RNA (237 nucleotides) under uncultured bacterium. RNAcentral's name for it is "partial 16S ribosomal RNA". It matches the Rfam family "Bacterial small subunit ribosomal RNA", at positions 15 to 248 of the family's 1533-position model. The record is from RNAcentral.
GAUCAUGGCUCAGAUUGAACGCUGGCGGCAGGCUUAACACAUGUAAGUCGAACGGUAACAUGAAGAAGCUUGCUUCUUUGAUGACGAGUGGCGGACGGGUGAGUAAUGCUUGGGAAUCUAGCUUAUGGAGGGGGAUAACUACGGGAAACUGUAGCUAAUACCGCGUAGAAUCGAGAGAUGAAAGUGUGGGACCUUCGGGCCACAUGCCAUAGGAUGAGCCCAAGUGGGAUUAGGUAG